CAAUUUAGAGCUUGUAAGCGUUUUAUUUACAUUAAAGAGAUUAACCUGUAAGGUUUGAAUUGA
This 63-nucleotide transfer RNA is filed under the name Anaedus unidentatus. Its description in RNAcentral is "tRNA-Val". The record is from RNAcentral. Lineage: Eukaryota; Metazoa; Arthropoda; Insecta; Coleoptera; Tenebrionidae.